Molecule: long non-coding RNA, 2313 nt
Organism: Quercus robur (English oak)
Lineage: Eukaryota; Viridiplantae; Streptophyta; Magnoliopsida; Fagales; Fagaceae
Exons: 13
Source: RefSeq, a predicted model, not a curated record
UUGAUAAGGAUUUCCCUAAUUUGGAAAUCAAAUGGUGGUGAGACCACAGCAGCAAACAGCUCUACUUCAUCUUCUGCAACGACCACUCCCCUCUUUCACUUGCUUCAUGGAGAUAAUUGUCUAAAGAAUUUGAACAAGUUUCUGGGGCAAUAUGGUCAUAGGAUAAAUCACUUGGAUAGUUUCAAGAUUUGGGAAGUUGACGCAGCUAAGAAUGAAUUGGAAACACAGAAUGAAAGGAGGUGUACGUAUCUGGGCAUAUUCAGAACCAUAUGAAAAAGUGCAACCAGUCAACAGCUAAGAAUGAUGCCAGGCUGAAAUUGUUGGGAAAUGGUCCAAGACUCUUGCAUCCCUAGAUUUGAUAGUGUUUUAGAAGGAUGAUUUGGUCCAACGAUACUAUAGAGUAUUGAAAAGCUUGGAAUAUGACAACAGACAAGAGUUGGUUAUUCCCCAAAGAGAGUCAGUACUGCAAUUUUGUUGCCACAAAUGAGAAUGGUUUAGUGAGUCUAUCAGUUAUUGGAUUCUGAUAAACAGGAACUUUGAAUUUGAAUACAUGAAAUGGAAAUUCACCACAACUACAAAAAGAUAAACCGGUUGGAAAGGACGAAGACUGUAGCUUGGUGUUAGCAACGAUAUUACUUCCUAGCUUCAGUUAGAGCUUAAGUUCAGGGUGACUGGUUAUUGGACUUUUCAACCUCCCUCUGUGAAACAUAAGCUUAUUGAAUAUGUUCAUCUUAAUGUAGUUGUUUCAAUAACAAAACAGGCUUAUUGUCUCUUUUUUUUUUUUUCUUUUUUUUUUUUUUUAAAUGCUUUUGAAAUUGUAACUCUUUUACCUAUAUGCAUAACAGUAUUUUAAUGCAUCCAAUUGAACUUCGUUACAAGAACUAUCAUGAGAAAUAUUUUAUAGGGAUUAAGCAUCUAGCAAAUGACGAUUAUCUGAAGAAUUGGAAUCUUUUGUGGAAAUAUGAUGAUUGGAUGUACCGCUUGGAUACUAAAAGAAUUUGAGAAGCCGAUAUAGUUAUUGAGGUUGGAGAUGGAAUAUUUAAGAUAUGUUCUACCUUGGGUGACACUUAUCCAAGAAGCAAUGGUUUUGACAAGGUUGGAACAAGAGAAACUGAUCUUUUGAAAGACAAGCAAGCUCUGGUCUUACAGAGAUUGCUGAGAAGGCAUAGAUGAAGUUGUCAUCUCUAACUUUGACUAAUAUUAGUUUAUCUUUCAUUACAACUGCUACGGAUGGCCUAAAACACAUUGACACCACACCGGUGGGUCAAACUUUUAGAAUUGUGUUCAGAUUUGCUAGACAGGCUUUUAUCACCUUUUGAAACUACCUUGAGAGAUACAAAGCUUUCCUUCAAAGAUAUAUAUAUGAAGUAAUCUUGUUGAUGGUUCAACUCGCAUCCCAGCCAUUUAGGAGCACGAGGAAAUGACUAGAAAAGAGCCAAAUGUGGCUGUAAAUCCUUAUGAAGUUGUUGCUCUUGGGGCUAUAGUUCAGGACUUGAAACUUUAGGUGGUGUGAUGGUAGAUUAUCUGAAGGAACCCAACCUUACCAAUUUCAGGGUUGUUUUCUUUUCCACUGCAGCAGAUGAAUAUAAACGAGUAUCAAGGUGAGAGAGUUUGUGAGGGACAACAUAUCUUGGAGUUGGCAUCUCACAUGUGUCACUUGGAGUUCCUCAAAUUUUGGUGAAAUUUGGUAUUGAUGCCGAUGGUAUUCUUUCAGUCACUGCAAUUGACAAGGGAAUUGGAAAGAAGCAGGAUAUCUCCAUAACUAGUACUAGCACCUUGCCAAGUGAAAAGGUGGAUAGGAUGGUUAAUGAAGCUGAAAAUUUUGCAAAGGGAAGACAAGGAAAUGAGGGAUGCCAUAGACACAAAGAACCAUGCUAACUCAGUUUUGUACCAUACUAGAAGCAACUAAAAGAGCUGGGAGAUAAUAUUCCUAGCUAGACAAGGAGAAUGUAGAGGCUAAAGUGAAUUCACCCAAGCCAUUAAAGAUGCAAUGGAUCUACCCAAGCCAUUAAAGAUGCAAUGGCUGUCCUGAAUCAAGAAAUUAUGUAACUGUGGUGGUCAAUGUUGAUAUGAAUUAGAAUUGGAUUGUCUAUUAGCUUUUUCGGAUUGACUUCUUUGCAUGGAUGACAACUAUUGUUUAGCCUUGAAUUAUGUUAGAGUUGAGAGAGAACUCUUUGAGAUAGAGUUAUUUGGGUGUAUUGGGGUUUGGGUUUGUGAGUGGUCCUACACCACCUUUGUACUCUCCAUAUUUGUUAGUGAAACUUUCUCCUUGUCGCCUCCCGUGGAUGUAGGCCAAAGGCCGAACCACGUAAA